CAAUGGGGAGGGAGGCUUAGAGCAGAGCCGGCGCUCGGAUAGCGCCGUCUCUGCAUGAUCCGACAGGGGAGAUCCUGAGAUCUCCCCUGCCGGUCUCAAUACAUAGGCAUGCCGCGGGGAUUAGGGUGUGCCCAGGCACACCCGACACAUCCCGUGCGCACGCCUAUGCCACCAAGGCCCACACGAUUCACCACACACUUAUCUUAGAGUAAAAAGAGAAACCCCCAUUCAUGGUAGUUUCGACCCACACAUAUAUAUCGAUGCUAUUGGAGUACCAAGGGGGGGGUACCAAAUGAG
Pelobates cultripes (western spadefoot toad) is the source of this 297-nucleotide non-coding RNA. Lineage: Eukaryota; Metazoa; Chordata; Amphibia; Anura; Pelobatidae. The record is from the annotation of a GenBank genome assembly.